CUGACUGUCUUGUUAGAUUAACCCAAAAAAUUUCAUUCACUCCGCAUACUCAAUCCUAUAGACACUCUUUUAAUUCUUCAAUCACAGACGUAACUUUGAUUUCAUAAAACAGUCAAGAGUUAUCAAACCCACUUCAAUAAAAAUUCCGAUUUACUAUUACAAUACUCACUUCAGCAAUGAUUGCCUCAGUCUUCCCAAAA
RNAcentral lists this long non-coding RNA (200 nucleotides) under Physcomitrium patens. RNAcentral's name for it is "long non-coding RNA (PPAT_LNC004258)". Lineage: Eukaryota; Viridiplantae; Streptophyta; Bryopsida; Funariales; Funariaceae. The record is from RNAcentral.